CUCAGGUGGUGCUCAUUGAUCUUGCACAAAAUGGUGAUCCGAGAUUAAAAUCAACAGUUGCAAAAGUUUUGGUGCAGCUAGAGCUCCUGCAAGAUCAAUCUGGUUACUUUUUAGUCAUUUAAGCAAUGUUGCGCAUGCAAUUUUGUUUUAUACUUUCAUACGCAUUGUUGCUUUAUGACUCUGUUCAUAUUAUUUAAUUUUUUCCCCC
Molecule: unclassified non-coding RNA, 208 nt
Filed under: Hevea brasiliensis (rubber tree)
Lineage: Eukaryota; Viridiplantae; Streptophyta; Magnoliopsida; Malpighiales; Euphorbiaceae
Source: RNAcentral